This 3271-nucleotide long non-coding RNA is filed under the name Equus caballus (horse). RNAcentral describes it as "lncRNA (ENSECAG00000051816.1)". Lineage: Eukaryota; Metazoa; Chordata; Mammalia; Perissodactyla; Equidae. The record is from RNAcentral.
CUGUUGUCUACUUCUAGACCUAUCUAACGCUUAACAUCUGUCUGACUGAACUUCCUUCCUUAUCCAGCCAGUCUUCCUUUAGUUUGCUGUGAGGAUUUUCCUAACAGCCUCUCCAUCUGUCUGAUCUGGCUCCAGUGGGACAGUCUAACAUCUGUAUCUGGUCUCCUCCAGAUUGGCCAUUUGUGUUACUGACAAAAUCCCUGGUCCCAAAGCAAAAGAGAAUGGCGUACAGUGGAAAUAUGUGAGAAGCAGAAGGCGAAGAGUAUGUAAAGUGCUUCCAGCAUCUUCAUGCAGGUGAACGGAACAGCACCUCGCCACUGCAUCUCAGUGCCUCAGACCUAAACUGAGGAAAUGGAUCAAGAGAUUUCAGAUGAUUAUUCAGUUCAAGGCACAGAAUCAUAAUUGGUCUAGGCAAGAACAUUCUAUACAAUUUUAUCAUUAUUUCCUUUCAUGUUUUAUCACCGAGUCUAUACCCCUAGACUUCCUCAUAUAUAUAUCUUAUCCCUCUAUCUAAUGUAUGUGAUUUUACUUUUCCAUUCCAUAUAUGUAUGUAUGUAUUUCGUAAAAUAUGGGUAAGGCUGUUCCUUGUGUAUAUAUUUAAUCUCCAUAAUAGCGAUGUACUCUAAACUUCAUUCUCUCAAAAAAGUGUUCCUAAAAUAUUAGUUACUAUAUGUGGAUCUAGUUCAUUCCCUUUGAUUGCUUCAUUGCUUUCUAUUUAUGCAUAUAGUGCAUAUUAUUUAUUAAUAUCCUCUCAUUAUUUUCUUUCUCCUUGUGCAUCCAUGUGUUUUUCUGGUACAGAACCCAGAGUCUGGAUUGCUGUGUAAUAGGUUAUGUGCAUACUCUGUUUUACUGAGUACUAAGGUUAUACUCCAAAGUGUCUGCAUCCAUUUGCACUCCCGCUGACAAGAUUUUGCAAAUACUCACCAACAAAAGAUGUGUUUGAUAUGCUUCUUCUACCUAUUUAGGGAUGUAAAAUGAUACCAUAUUGUUAUCUUAAUUUACAUUUAUCAUAUUAGUGAGAUCGAGAAUUGCUUUAUAUAAUUACUAUUGGCCACCAAUCACAUCUUCAUCAGCCGGUACUGCUCUGUUUCCUUGACUGCCUCCUGAGCAUCUCCCUGAAUGGUAAAUAUUGGUGUGUCAGAAGGCUCUAUAUUUGAACAUCAUCUCUUCUCAAUCUAUAAUCACUCUCUUGAUUUUUAAAACCAUCAGUCUAGAUAAGAUCACCAUCCAUGUCCUGAUGACUUACAAAUUUAUAUCUUCAGGCAGGACUUCUCCCUUAUAUCCAACUGCCUUCUUAAUGUGUCCUUUUGGAUAGUCAAUGAGUAUCUUAAAAUGUACUUAUCUGAAAGUGAACUUUUGAUCACCACACCCUCCCUCCAAAAGAGCCCUACUCCUUUGCCAGUCUUCUCCCAUUUUGCUAAGCCUGUGAAAAACUCUUGAAAUUUUCCUUGACUUGUAGCAUUCUCCCGUACUCUACCACCUACCCAUCAGUCAAUUCUUUUGGUUUUAUUAUCAGUAUUUAUUCAGAAUCCAAAUAUCUUCUUUAUAUUUCGAUCAUCAUUCCUCUGCUCCAAGCCAGCAUCAUCUCUUGCUUAGAUUAUUUCAGUAGCCUCUUAUUACACCCAUCUACUUUGACAGACACAGUAACCUUUUAAAACAUGUUUUUCAUCUGGCUUAAAAGUCACCUAUGUCUUUUUGUCUCGUUCACAGUUAAAACCCAAACGCUUACAAUGACAAAAAAAAAGUCCCAUAUGAUUGUUUUAACCUCACCUACCCAUCUGUACUUGCCAACUGUAUUCUAGCUACGCUCUCCUAUUUGAUGAUAUUGAAUAUGCAAGACGUUUUGUCUCAGGGUCUUUGUAAUUGCUGUUUCCUGUCUGGAAUCCUGUUGCCUUGGAUAGCUUCAUGUUUAUUUACCUCUUUUCCUCUGGGUCCAGCUCAAGUGCCACCUUGCUUUUUUAAAAUUUUUUUUGCUGAGGAAGAUUUGCCCUGAGCUAACACCUGUGCCAGUCUUCCUCUAUUUUGUAUGUGGUUGGCUGCUACAGUAUGGUCGCCACCAAGUGAUGUAGGUCUGUGCCUGGGAACCAAACCUGGGAGGCCAAAACAGGGCACACCAAACUUAACCACUUGGCCACAGGGCCGACCCCACCACCUUGCCUUUUAAUUCCUUGUAUCCUGGUUUACUUUUCUUAAAAGUACUCGUUACCACAUGAUAUCUUAUAUGUUUUCUUUUAUGUGUAUGUUUUUCUUUGAUUUGUAUGCUUUUAGAAUAUAAGCUGCGUGAAGGCAGGGACAGUUUUGAUUUGCUCCUUGCCCUAACCCCACUGUUGAAAACAGUGCCUGGCAUUAAAAGAAUAGUAGUAGAAUAAAGAAAUGAUUUUGCUUUUAUCUUAAGUUAUAUUUUGGCUGACAUUAAAAUUAAUAUCCAGCUUUCUUUUGGUUCAUAUUUGGCUGAUAAUCUUUUGGUGCAAAAGGUGUAUAUUUUAAACUUUUCUUUUCCCCACAGUAUUUCUAUGCCUUUGCCCCUUUCUAGUGUGUCACUUUUGGACAACGUGUGUGUGUGUGUGUAUUUUAAAAACAGUUUUAGGUUCCCAACAAAAUUUAGAGGAAUGUGAAGAGAUUUCUCACAUACCUUGUGCCCCAGUGCAUUCAUAGCCUCCCCCGUUAUCAACAUCACUCAACAGAAUGGUACAUUUGUUACGGAGGAUGAAGCUACAUUGACCCAUCAUAAUCACCCAAAGUCCAUAGUUUACAUUAGGGUUCAUUCUUGAUGGUGUACGUUCUGUGGGUUUGGACAAAUGUAUAAUGACAUAUAUCCAUCAUUAUAGUUUCAUACGGAGUAUUUUCACUGCCCUAAAUAUCCUCUGUGCUCUACCUAACAUCCCGUUCCCCAUUCAACCCCUGGAAAUCACUGACCUUUUUACUCUUUCCAUAGUUUUACCUUUUCCAAAAUGUCUUAUAGCUGGAAUAAUACAGUAUGUAGACUUUUCAGAUUGGUUUCUCUUACUGAGUAAUAUUCAUUUAAGGUUACUCUGUGUCUUUUCAUGGCUUGAUUUGUUUAUAUUUUUAAGUUCAGACUGAGAAUCCUCAUCUUAUGUUGCAUGUUUAGCCUGUUUUUAUUUACUAUAAUUUCAAUUAUUCUAGGACUUGUUUCUGUAAUUUUUUGAUCAUUUUUAUUUACCAUGCACUCACCUACAAGUUUCAGACUAGCUUUCUGUGCUUUCCAGUGAGUACUUGGUGGCUGUCUGGGGGUUCUACCAUUACCUCUAAC